UCUAAUUAAGGAGGGGGAGUAUAAAAAAACUAAAUAAUUUGGCAGUUUAACUUUCAUCUUAGGGGAGUUUGCUCUAUUAUGGAAGGUACCCCUUGGAAUUUACUUUGUCUUUUCUUUAUAUACCUCCGUCUUUAUCUUUAUUAUGAUAGAAAUACUGGAGUGGUAAUAAGUCAGGUCAAGGUGUAGGUUGGCGAAGGUUGAGGUGAGCUACAUUCAAUUGUUUGAGACGGAUUUUGGGAAGAAUUAUAAAUUAAGGUGGACUUAUGCGUAAAAUUUGAUUAUGUGUGUUUAUUUGAGAUUGAUCUGUUGG
RNAcentral lists this ribosomal RNA (310 nucleotides) under Parogovia sp. RMC-2015. RNAcentral's name for it is "partial 12S ribosomal RNA". Lineage: Eukaryota; Metazoa; Arthropoda; Arachnida; Opiliones; Neogoveidae. The record is from RNAcentral.